CAACUUCCCAGACCCCGAUUCUGUGUUUCCCCUCCAAUUCCCCUGCUCCCCCUCCUCCCAGAAAUGGAGGAAACUGCGAGGCCAUGGUGAUGCUGCCUUGUUUAGUAAAAGAAAAUGUGAAAAAGAUUAAGGCGGAUCAAUCAAAAUGUCAGCCUGAUCUUGAACUGUUGGAAAAGAAGCCUUGUUUUUAUUCAAGUGUGUCACAAAGACCUGGGUGACCUUGUUUUGCAAGUGAAAACCUUUGACUGUGACAUAGGCAUGCUUCUUGUGUCCAGCUCUUAUUUAGCAAAUAAACUAAAAGUACUGCCUAUGUUUAUGGUAAACAACUGAUUUGGUUCUACUAAAAAAAAAUAAUAAAAAAACAAUUACAGCUGGAUAAUGUAGAACCAGAUUAGGUUUCUUUUAUAUUUGUUGUCACCAAAUGCUCCCAAUCUUUCUGAGCUCUGAGGCUCGUUAAGUAGAUGUUUUAAAAUGGUGCAACAGACAACGCAGCUGUAUUUCAUUUGUAGAUAAUUGAUGCAAUACAUGUAAUAACCCAACUGGAUAUGUUGACUCAUGAGCUAAUUUAGGUGUAGAUGUUACAGCACUUGUGCAGCUGGAAAUGUUGCCAUCACACAAAUCAGUUGCAGAUUAAUGGAGUCAGGUCCCUGUCUGCACUAGGAAGAGAUAAAAGGACACAGUCAAAUAUAAAAACAAGUUCUGAAGAGUUAUUGUUACCUGCACCCCUUGCCUCCUUUGCCUUAUCUUUGAAAAAAGGACAUCAUCGACCUGCGCACCUUCUGCAUACUUCAGGAUCCAUGUCUUCUGGAAAAGGGAGUCAAAAACAACAAUCUGGAAUAAAUGGGUUCAUGGAAAAUUUUGUCUGUAAAAUUACCAAUCACAGCCCUGCAGGAGCUGAUAAGGACCUGCUUUAGCCUGGCUCUUAUCUUAUGUUCUGCUGCAUUAUUACCUGUGAACAUUACUUUGACUGCAUCCUAAUUAGAGUUGCCUAGGUUUAUUCCACCUGUACUAUAGAAGGCAGCAGUCAGGCUGGAUGAUACUUUCCUUGAACUUGUUUUUUGAAAAGUGUGAUUUCUCUGGCCCAAAACAUUACAACCUAGUCUCAAAACUGUUCAGAAUAUCGUAUGUCCACCAAAAUGUUAGUAAAUUAUCUGAGUAGAGAUAAAGUCCUUCUACAGAAUACAGUAGUAUUUCAGAGACUUUGAUUCUGCUCAUUUUCCUGCUGUUUUCAGAGGUUACUUUAAAGUCUAUUUCCAAAUUAAACACUUCAGACUUUGACUCACGGAAGCGUACAUUUGACAGGGGUAGUCAGUUUAGAUACAUGCACGACCAUUAGUAUCAUAGAAGUCGUGCUCUAGGUAUUUGGAAGAGACACUAGUAGUUUAUAUAUAUGUUUCCUGUAUUCAGAUAUUUACAUGUUGAACCAGAGAGAAGAGAUACUUUUUUUUACUCUUUUUUUUUUUUUUUUUGCACAAAAAUAAGUGAGAUGUUGGCUAAAAAUGUAUUGGGAUCCCUGGUUAAUACUCCUUAGAUUAAAAAACAAAACAAAACAAAACAAAAAUAAAACGCCUGCAGAUGAGUAUAGAGGAAACCUA
RNAcentral lists this long non-coding RNA (1595 nucleotides) under Anas platyrhynchos platyrhynchos (common mallard). RNAcentral's name for it is "lncRNA (ENSAPLG00000025141.1)". The record is from RNAcentral. Lineage: Eukaryota; Metazoa; Chordata; Aves; Anseriformes; Anatidae.